GCGGGAGUAGCUCAGUGGCGAGAGCAUCGGCCUUCCAAGCCGAGGGGCGCGGGUUCGAAUCCCGUCUCCCGCU
RNAcentral lists this transfer RNA (73 nucleotides) under Pseudomonadota bacterium. Its description in RNAcentral is "Proteobacteria bacterium (marine metagenome) tRNA-Gly". It matches the Rfam family "tRNA". Rfam says of the family: Transfer RNA (tRNA) molecules are approximately 80 nucleotides in length. Their secondary structure includes four short double-helical elements and three loops (D, anti-codon, and T loops). The record is from RNAcentral. Lineage: Bacteria; Pseudomonadati; Pseudomonadota.